AUUGAACGCUGGCGGCAGGCCUAACACAUGCAAGUCGAGCGGAUGAAGGGAGCUUGCUCCUGGAUUCAGCGGCGGACGGGUGAGUAAUGCCUAGGAAUCUGCCUGGUAGUGGGGGAUAACGUCCGGAAACGGGCGCUAAUACCGCAUACGUCCUGAGGGAGAAAGUGGGGGAUCUUCGGACCUCACGCUAUCAGAUGAGCCCAGGUCGGAUUAGCUAGUUGGUGGGGUAAAGGCCUACCAAGGCGACGAUCCGUAACUGGUCUGAGAGGAGGAUCAGUCACACUGGAACUGAGACACGGUCCAGACUCCUACGGGAGGCAGAAGUGGGGAAUAUUGGACAAUGGGCGAAAGCCUGAUCCAGCCAUGCCGCGUGUGUGAAGAAGGUCUUCGGAUUGUAAAGCACUUUAAGUUGGGAGGAAGGGCAGUAAGUUAAUACCUUGCUGUUUUGACGUUACCAACAGAAUAAGCACCGGCUAACUUCGUG
Molecule: ribosomal RNA, 484 nt
Filed under: uncultured bacterium
Lineage: Bacteria
Description: partial 16S ribosomal RNA
Rfam family: Bacterial small subunit ribosomal RNA
Source: RNAcentral